Raphanus sativus (radish) is the source of this 1927-nucleotide long non-coding RNA. RefSeq lists it as uncharacterized. The transcript has 4 exons. Lineage: Eukaryota; Viridiplantae; Streptophyta; Magnoliopsida; Brassicales; Brassicaceae. The record is from RefSeq and is a predicted model, not a curated record.
UCCGGCAGCCCAUUAGAUAGCCUAUCAACUUCUCCCCUUACGCCGCAUUGCAGAGGAGCAGACCUAAUCUCGCGAUCUACAUCGUGAGCCCUUUCAUCUCUCUUCUCUUCGAUUGUGUCCCUUCUCGAACAAUCAAUUCUCUCUCCACUCCUGUUUUCUCUUUAAUCGUGUAGUUAAUGGAAUCUCUUAGAUUUCUUACUCUCAACUCUCUCAGACAUUUCUUGGAUGCUGUUAUAUCCUAUAUAAAUCGCUCAUUAGGUUUUAUAUUUCAUCCAAACAAUUGUUCAAAUCCUCUCGACUGCUCAUUACGAUGACGUUAUCCGACUCACAGAAAAAAAUCAGCAACUCCGCGUUCUCCUCCGGCUCGAUCAACUCCGUCGAUCAGGCCGUCGUCCCUUCCGCCGUGGUUAACUCUGAGAAAUCUGAAGGUAUCAAGAAUGGCUUCAUCUAAACCUAAAUUCUAUCAAAAUCAAAAUCAAAACCUAGCCCUAAGCUCAACCGAAACCACUAAUCACCGUAGAACCCCUUCUGAUUGAUGAUCAGGUAUGACAUUGCCUUCCUCAUAUUUACAUCUUACGACUCAAUUCCACUCACCCAUAUAAUCAACUUUCUAAAGUGCUGCUUUCUGUUCCUUAAGAUGCAAUUCCAUGUUCGUAAUUAACGAUUCACUCCAUCUGUUUAGUUUUUGGUGUGGUGUGGUGUGGUGUGUUGUUAAUGUGAUUGUAGCCUCUGAGCAAUAUGUCUUUUAAACGAUGGAGAUAACUACAAUCUAUAGCGUAUAAUGGGAAGAGGAUAUCUUGGAGGAAACUUAAGGUAUCAAGAAUCAAGGGCUGUCCCUCAGCUAAGAUAUGGCUCACUGGUCUCAGCUUAUUUACUUUGAAAGUCUGGAAUUCUGCAGAACCUUACAUUUCUGAGGAUCGUAAGAUAAAAGCACUGAUCUCUCUUACUCUAAAACUGCAAGCAAACUGUCUGAUCUGGAUUGGAGGUUGACGUGACAUGAACAAGAAGUGUACAGAGAGGCAGUUAUUCUCGAACACCACCAAGUGGAUUGUGGAUGUACGUACAGAAGGAGGUAGUGAUGUGUGUUGGCUAGAGGAUUUUCUCAGUCCAUUGAGUAUUCUCUGCUCUGCAAUAACAAGCCGACAUUACACAAAAAUUGGAAAACAUAUAUAGACUUACCCGCUAUUUUGAAGAUGGUAAAAACAAAACAAUUGAGACUGUGGUUCAUUUUGGGAUCCGAAAGGACCACAACGACAGAGUCUGGUAUCUGCUGAUUUCGUACACAUCUCCAAGAGCUUGCAAAAGAACGCGUCUUAAAGAUUCAGGGAUGUUGGAGAUUAGGACUUCGUGGAGACGUAUUGGACGCAAUCAUAGAGGCGUUGCAGAUUAAUCUAUUGCUAGAGGACUCCGCUUCAAUAUUCAGGGAAAGAAAACGAGAUUAUCAGAAGCUGGGACACAAUGGUAGGGAGAUGGAUGAAACAGGAACGGAUUCACUCAUGGAUCUGCAACUAACUGAUCCAAAGAGCAGUAGAGCUUUCCUCUGCGGACAAGACUAUGCAUGCAAGACAACACUGUAGCAACUCUGUAAUGCAAAAUUUCUGUGCUUCCGGUUUCCCAUAGGUGGAGAAUUGAGAACUUUGAUGAAUCCUGUGGAGAAAGUUGUUAAAACAGUUGGUGGGCUGAUAAUGAGGACAUCCAUGGACGAGGAAGCAAAGAUUUCAAUAUGCAAUUUGCGGUGCAGCAGGGUUCUAUGCUCUUCAGGAUCUGAUGUUUUUUUUUGUAAGAGAUCUUCAUGAUCUGAUGUUCCCGACCAUAUGUCCAAAUACUUCAAAUUAGUUUUAUUUACUCUACCAAGUUGUAAGGUCGUUUAUCACUAAUAAAUUUGAUAUUUUCAAAUAAUAAUAAUAAUUGAGUUUGGUUGUAAAAA